UAAUGCGUUAGAAUUAGAAUCUAAAUC
RNAcentral lists this transfer RNA (27 nucleotides) under Cyrtocarenum cunicularium. RNAcentral's name for it is "partial tRNA-Leu". Lineage: Eukaryota; Metazoa; Arthropoda; Arachnida; Araneae; Ctenizidae. The record is from RNAcentral.